Molecule: ribosomal RNA, 207 nt
Filed under: uncultured bacterium
Lineage: Bacteria
Description: partial 16S ribosomal RNA
Rfam family: Bacterial small subunit ribosomal RNA
Source: RNAcentral
CGCGUAGGCGGUUUGUUAAGUUGGAUGUGAAAGCCCCGGGCUCAACCUGGGAAUUGCAUCCGAUACUGGCCGACUAGAGUACGAGAGAGGGAGGUAGAAUUCCACGUGUAGCGGUGAAAUGCGUAGAUAUGUGGAGGAAUACCGGUGGCGAAGGCGGCCUCCUGGCUCGAUACUGACGCUGAGGUGCGAAAGCGUGGGGAGCAAACA